Non-coding RNA from Xylariaceae sp. FL1651, 91 nucleotides. Lineage: Eukaryota; Fungi; Ascomycota; Sordariomycetes; Xylariales; Xylariaceae. The record is from the annotation of a GenBank genome assembly.
UCUCGAUUGGUCUAGUGGUUAGGAUACCUGCUUGUCAAUAUUCCGAUAUAGCAAGCCGCAGGUGGCCGGGGUUCGAUUCCCCGAUCGAGAG